This 501-nucleotide long non-coding RNA is filed under the name Capra hircus (goat). RNAcentral describes it as "lncRNA (ENSCHIG00000008311.1)". The record is from RNAcentral. Lineage: Eukaryota; Metazoa; Chordata; Mammalia; Artiodactyla; Bovidae.
UGUUAAGUGCUCCAGUUAGAAUGUGUAUUAAUAGGAAUUUUUGAAUCCUUGUUUUAUAGAUGAUAAAAAAUAGGCUCCAAGAGGUUAAGUAAUUGACUGAAGACCAUACAGCUACUGGGCACCAGAGUGGAAAUAAGGCCAAUAUGACUAUGAAGAGCAGCUUUCAUCCACUUUUCUGACAAGAAGGCAAAGUCCACCAAAGCCGGAAUGUUGUUUUAGUGUCUAUCUAAGCACUGUGGAGAAAAGCAGGCACCUGGGGAUUUCUCCUUUCUGCACACCAGCCUGGUGAUGGAUUUUUUCCCCCUUGUAUAUUUACACUAACAUCUCUCUGUGAUUGGAAGGAAUGUCCCUUGACAACUCUAUCUGACUAGAAAGAUUUUAUUACGCCUUUAGAUACUAGUCUUUCUCUCUCAGCUCUGACUUCGUGAAGGACAGAAACCUUGGUCUGAUUCAUCUUUUGAUCCUGAUUCUUCAGACUAUGCCCAGAUCAGAGUAGGAAGC